Mesocricetus auratus (golden hamster) is the source of this 1096-nucleotide long non-coding RNA. RefSeq lists it as uncharacterized. The transcript has 4 exons. NCBI's taxonomy places the organism in Eukaryota, Metazoa, Chordata, Mammalia, Rodentia, Cricetidae. The record is from RefSeq and is a predicted model, not a curated record.
GUGGCCUCUUUUAAGCACACGGAGGCAUCUCCAAGCCGGCUUUGUGAAAAGCCAAGGACAUUUUUUCGGCAGAGACUCUGAGCUAGUUGCCACAUAAACAAACAGGAGUUCACUUUAGCUUCCUGGGCUUUUUUGGACUGACAGAAAGCGCUAAGGGGAAGACAGAAGCCAACAGGGCAGCCUGGGGCGACUGGAAGCUUGGGAGGAAGCAGUGGAUUGCUGCCACCAACUUGCUGCUCAGGGCGAGGCUGUGAAAGUGUGAGCCGUGAACAAACGUCUGGAAAAGCUCUCCGCUGGACAUUUUGCCCUUGGCACCAAAGGCAGCAUGAUGUCGGGCUGGAGAAUCUACCUUGGAUUCCUUCCUUGUAUUGGACUGCUGCUGGUUCAGUUUCAAUAACACGGAUAUAACGAACAGGGAGGUUGAGAUGUGUGCUUCAGAUCAGAGGUAAAAUGAAGAUGUAUGGGGCCAUGCCCAUGGAUCAACCCCGGCCCAACAGCCUGACGGAAUCUUGUUGACAGAUAGGUAGUAUGUCAACAGACACAUUUUGUGAAAUGGAAAUUGGAAGAAGCCUAAAACAACAGAAUAGAGGAUGGAAACCCAAGCUGCUUUUGCCAGAUGCGGCCCAUGCCUGGCAGUACACUCUGUUAUGAUUCCCAAUAGAGAUGAAAUGCAGUCUGAAGCCAGAGCAGAGAAAGACGGCUGAAAAUUCAUGUAAUAUUUGUAUCAAGUACGCCAUGAAUCAUGAAAUGCAACACUACUGCAGGGCUUCUUGAAGAAUCUGUACUCAGGAGUUAUUGACAUUUAUAUAAUCACGCGCUGCAAUGUGUUUUUCUGAAAAACAAACUUUACCUAGAGUUCUGAAAAUUAUCCGCAAUUUGUACGGAGGAAUUCAAACAUCAAAUUGGUACAUUAGCCACAUGGCAUGGGCCUCCAACUCCAGGACAGCAUGUUCCAUGAGACUCUCUGGAAAAUAAAAAAGCAUUUAAAAAACCUUUUAUUUAUUUUUUAUUGAAAACACCAUUUUUUAGGGCAAAAGGUCACUGGAUUGAACAUAGAUAAGCAAAUACCCCAAUUAAUAAAAUUACUUUCUCAAUA